RNAcentral lists this ribosomal RNA (116 nucleotides) under uncultured bacterium. RNAcentral's name for it is "partial 16S ribosomal RNA". It matches the Rfam family "Bacterial small subunit ribosomal RNA", at positions 1357 to 1482 of the family's 1533-position model. The record is from RNAcentral.
CUGCGGUGAAUACGUUCCCGGACCUUGCACACACCGCCCGUCAAGCCAUGGAAACUGGGUGUACCUAAAGUCGGUAACCGUAAGGAGCCGCCUAGGGUAAACUAGUAACUGGGGCU